RNAcentral lists this ribosomal RNA (484 nucleotides) under uncultured bacterium. Its description in RNAcentral is "partial 16S ribosomal RNA". It matches the Rfam family "Bacterial small subunit ribosomal RNA", at positions 30 to 507 of the family's 1533-position model. The record is from RNAcentral.
AUUGAACGCUGGCGGCAUGCUUUACACAUGCAAGUCGAGCGGCAGCGCGGCCUUCGGGCUGGCGGCGAGCGGCGAACGGGUGAGUAAUGCAUCGGAACAUGCCCAGUCGUGGGGGAUAACACUUCGAAAGAAGUGCUAAUACCGCAUACGUCCUGAGGGGGAAAGCGGGGGAUCGCAAGACUUCGCGCGAUUGGAGUGGCCGAUGUCCGAUUAGCUAGUUGGUGGGGUAAAGGCCUACCAAGGCGACGAUCUGUAGCUGGUCUGAGAGGAUGAUCAGCCACACUGGGACUGAGACACGGCCCAGACUCCUACGGGAGGCAGCAGUGGGGAAUUUUGGACAAUGGGGGCAACCCUGAUCCAGCCAUGCCGCGUGAGUGAAGAAGGCCUUCGGGUUGUAAAGCUCUUUCGGCAGGAACGAAACGUUGGGCUCUAACAUAGUCCGCUAAUGACGGUACCUGAAGAAGAAGCACCGGCUAACUACGUG